RNAcentral lists this ribosomal RNA (407 nucleotides) under uncultured Clostridium sp. RNAcentral describes it as "bacterial SSU rRNA". It matches the Rfam family "Bacterial small subunit ribosomal RNA", at positions 355 to 776 of the family's 1533-position model. Lineage: Bacteria; Bacillati; Bacillota; Clostridia; Eubacteriales; Clostridiaceae. RNAcentral also lists the same sequence under 1 other name. The record is from RNAcentral.
UGGGGGAUAUUGGACAAUGGGGGGAACCCUGAUCCAGCGACGCCGCGUGAGUGAAGAAGUAUCUCGGUAUGUAAAGCUCUGUCAGCAGGGAAGAAAGAAAUGACGGUACCUGACCAAGAAGCCCCGGCUAACUACGUGCCAGCAGCCGCGGUAAUACGUAGGGGGCAAGCGUUAUCCGGAAUCACUGGGUGUAAAGGGAGCGUAGACGGUUGUGCAAGUCUGGAGUGAAAGGCGGGGGCCCAACCCCCGGACUGCUCUGGAAACUGUGUAACUGGAGUGCAGGAGAGGCAGGCGGAAUUCCUGGUGUAGCGGUGAAAUGCGUAGAUAUCAGGAGGAACACCGGUGGCGAAGGCGGCCUGCUGGACUGUAACUGACGUUGAGGCUCGAAAGCGUGGGGAGCAAACAGG